Nilaparvata lugens (brown planthopper) is the source of this 348-nucleotide long non-coding RNA. RefSeq lists it as uncharacterized. The record is from RefSeq and is a predicted model, not a curated record. The transcript has 3 exons. NCBI's taxonomy places the organism in Eukaryota, Metazoa, Arthropoda, Insecta, Hemiptera, Delphacidae.
UAGAACUGCAGAUACAUAUUAUACUAAAAUCCACCAUGACAGAUGAAUAUGAUGCAAAGGAUUAGAUUUGAAAAAAGUUCUUCUCCUCUCUACAUUUGAUGAAAGCCAUUUUCAGCAAAGGUGGGAAUAGAACUGCAGAUGCAUAUACCAAAAUCCACCAUGACAGACGAAUAUGCUGCCAACUAUAGUUUUAGAUUUAAAACUCUUUUCUACAUCUGAUGGAAACCAUUUUCAGACCAAGAGCAGAGAAACUACCCCUCAUGAAGCUCAAAUCGAGGACGAUAGCAGUUCAAAGUAAAAAUAUAUAAUUAGUUAUAAAUUGAAAGUUCAAUUUUUGUAAUAUUUAAU